AAGUUUUUUGAAAGGAGAGAAGGUCAGCACUCCCCUUGAUAAGGAUGGAAGAGGUCCUAGUGGCCUGUACAACAUGCAUACGGUUAACAUAGUAAAUACAUAAAUAAAUAAAUUUA
Molecule: small nuclear RNA, 116 nt
Organism: Sphaerodactylus townsendi
Lineage: Eukaryota; Metazoa; Chordata; Lepidosauria; Squamata; Sphaerodactylidae
Source: RefSeq, a predicted model, not a curated record